CUACCUAGUAGUACGGAAUAAUUGUUGGAAACGGCAACUAAUACCGUAYACGCCCUACGGGGGAAAAAUUUAUUGCUAUUAGAUGAGCCUAUAUUAKAUUAGCUAGUUGGUGGAGUAAUAGCCUACCAAGGCAAUGAUCUAUASCUGAUCUGARAGGAUGAUCAGCCACACUGGAACUGAGAUACGGUCCAGACUCCUACGGGAGGCAGCAGUGGGGAAUAUUGGACAAUGGGCSAAAGCCUGAUCC
This 247-nucleotide ribosomal RNA is filed under the name Wolbachia endosymbiont of Aedes albopictus. RNAcentral's name for it is "partial 16S ribosomal RNA". It matches the Rfam family "Bacterial small subunit ribosomal RNA", at positions 126 to 389 of the family's 1533-position model. The record is from RNAcentral. Lineage: Bacteria; Pseudomonadati; Pseudomonadota; Alphaproteobacteria; Rickettsiales; Anaplasmataceae.